UCUCUUUCCACCAUUUUUUAGUCACUAAGCUGUAAAACCUCGGUUCUCAUCUAGUUCUACCCAUUUCCUACCCCUAGUGCUUGAGUUAAAAAGGUAGGGUAGGUGGAGGGCAUCGUUUUAAUAUGAAAAUUUCCAGUUUUCGUUGCCGUUGAUUUUCGGGCGUUGUUCAUUUUCUCCUCUUGCUUUGAGGUACUGAUGGUAUGCCUCUGGCAAGGGGAUAACUUGGGAGAACGUUGGAGCUAAACGCUCAUUUUGAGUUUUCUUUUGUGUAAGCCUAGGACUUUCUACGUAUUGGGCUUAAAACCCACUUUUGUUGUAACCAAGUAUCAUCUUGGGAACUUGUAGCUGAUAAGGCAUGGAUAUGUAAUAGAUUAGAUAUUAAUUUUUAUCGAUCACAUGCUAUAAAUUCAAGUUUUAGAAGCAGCGAAUGUAUCAUGCAUGUGGUUUGAUUUUGUAAUGCUAUAAAACAUCAUGAUUUUCAAUGUA
Molecule: non-coding RNA, 486 nt
Organism: Camellia sinensis
Lineage: Eukaryota; Viridiplantae; Streptophyta; Magnoliopsida; Ericales; Theaceae
Source: RefSeq, a predicted model, not a curated record